GUGGCAGGACAGCUGACCCUGGGACAUCCCUGUGGACACACUGCAUGGCUGGACUCCGCCCACCAGACACUCCCUGCCACGUUGCUGGGCUCUUGCCUGCACCCUCACUGCUGCUGCCACAUAUAUAUAAAACAAUAACUAUGGAUGAUCAAAGUCACAAAUGACCUGUGGAAAAGAGUGGACUGAUGAUCUACUAUGUACUCUAUAUUCAAAGCAUGGAGUUUGGCAUCACAGGAAUAUGAAGAAUGUCUGGGCUGCUGUAUCCAAUUUGAUCUAACUGCCACAACUCACAGGAAGUCUUUGUAAGGGUAACUGGCAGUCACCCCCAAACACAGGUUGAUAAAAAUCAUGCUUUGGAGCAUGGCACUGCAUAAAGUAUUAUUUUUG
Molecule: long non-coding RNA, 387 nt
Organism: Nomascus leucogenys (northern white-cheeked gibbon)
Lineage: Eukaryota; Metazoa; Chordata; Mammalia; Primates; Hylobatidae
Exons: 3
Source: RefSeq, a predicted model, not a curated record